AGUCGAGCGCGAAAAGUCUUCGGACCUAGUAGAGCGGCGCACGGGUGAGUAACACGUGAGUAAUCUGCCUUUCAGUCUGGGAUAACAGUGCGAAAGCGCUGCUAAUACCGGAUAAGACCACAAGGCGUUGGCCAGGUGGGAAAAGGGUGGGAUCUCUUCGGAGACCAUCUGCUGAAAGAUGAGCUCGCGGCCCAUUAGGUAGUUGGCGGGGUAACGGCCCACCAAGCCGAAGAUGGGUAGCUGGUCUGAGAGGACGAUCAGCCACACUGGAACUGAGACACGGUCCAGACUCCUACGGGAGGCAGCAGUGGGGAAUCUUGCGCAAUGGACGAAAGUCUGACGCAGCCAUGCCGCGUGAGUGAAGAAGGCCCUCGGGUCGUAAAGCUCUGUUGAGAGGGACGAACAAGCUGGGAUCUAACAGGACCCAGCCCUGACGGUACCUCUUUAGAAAGCACCGGCUAACUCCGUGCCAGCAGCCGCGGUAAUACGGAGGGUGCAAGCGUUGUUCGGAAUUACUGGGCGUAAAGCGUGUGUAGGCGGUGACCAUAAGUCGGGUGUGAAAGCCCUGGGCUCAACCCAGGAACUGCGCUCGAUACUGCGGCACUCGAGUUCGGGAGAGG
Molecule: ribosomal RNA, 620 nt
Filed under: uncultured bacterium
Lineage: Bacteria
Description: bacterial SSU rRNA
Rfam family: Bacterial small subunit ribosomal RNA
Source: RNAcentral